UCAUGUCGGACAGAAAUAUACUAGAGGGUGUGGUCGUCCUACAUGAAACACUACAUGAAAUCGACUCAAACAAGCUGAGUAAAUUGUCAAAAACUACCACAAUUCGCGCAACCAUGUCCAUUAGCUACCACAAUACGAUUUUAUGCGGAAAACUACCAAAAUCUUUCUAAUUUGUGGCAAAAAACUAUCAAAAGUUUUAUCUGCCCCAUUUAGCUCUUUUAACCGUUUUCCUGACAAGGCAUAUCAGGUGCCAGCAUGGCCACCUUUUUCUCUCCUCCCACCAGUUCUUUCUCUCUCCCCCCACCCUCCUUCUACCUCCCGACGGGGAGAGGCAGUGGGCGCUGGCCGGACACUGGGCACUCCAAGUCUCGGCAUAACUCCCCCACGCGUUUCCACACCGGAGUCAGCCAUGGCACGCCGCUCCCGCCAACCAAACUGAACGCACGCCUUCCUCCGGCGGCCCCAAGAGGAAACCAACCAUGACGUCGCCACGCCACGCCUUUCUCCCACUCCUCGCGCUCUGCCUCGUCCUGCGCCAUGGCGCGGCACAGCAGGCCGACGAGCGGCAGCUCCUGCUCAGGAUCAAG
This 587-nucleotide long non-coding RNA is filed under the name Hordeum vulgare. RNAcentral's name for it is "long non-coding RNA (HVUL_LNC010041)". The record is from RNAcentral. Lineage: Eukaryota; Viridiplantae; Streptophyta; Magnoliopsida; Poales; Poaceae.